This 492-nucleotide ribosomal RNA is filed under the name uncultured bacterium. RNAcentral's name for it is "partial 16S ribosomal RNA". It matches the Rfam family "Bacterial small subunit ribosomal RNA", at positions 29 to 507 of the family's 1533-position model. The record is from RNAcentral.
AGUGAACGCUGGCGGUAGGCCUAACACAUGCAAGUCGAACGGCAGCACAGUAAGAGCUUGCUCUUACGGGUGGCGAGUGGCGGACGGGUGAGGAAUACAUCGGAAUCUACUUUUUCGUGGGGGUUAACGUAGGGAAACUUACGCUAAUACCGCAUACGACCUACGGGUGAAAGCAGGGGAUCUUCGGACCUUGCGCGAGUGAAUGAGCCGAUGUCGGAUUAGCUAGUUGGCGGGGUAAAGGCCCACCAAGGCGACGAUCCGUAGCUGGUCUGAGAGGAUGAUCAGCCACACUGGAACUGAGACACGGUCCAGACUCCUACGGGAGGCAGCAGUGGGGAAUAUUGGACAAUGGGCGCAAGCCUGAUCCAGCCAUACCGCGUGGGUGAAGAAGGCCUUCGGGUUGUAAAGCCCUUUUGUUGGGAAAGAAAAGCAGCAGGUUAAUACCCCGCUGUUCUGACGGUACCCAAAGAAUAAGCACCGGCUAACUUCGUG